RNAcentral lists this transfer RNA (73 nucleotides) under Candidatus Nitrosopelagicus brevis. Its description in RNAcentral is "tRNA-Gln(ctg)". It matches the Rfam family "tRNA". Rfam says of the family: Transfer RNA (tRNA) molecules are approximately 80 nucleotides in length. Lineage: Archaea; Thermoproteati; Nitrososphaerota. The record is from RNAcentral. RNAcentral also lists the same sequence under 1 other name.
AGCCCGGUAGUGUAGCGGCAAGCAUAGGGGCCCCUGGAGCCUUUGACCUCGGUUCGAGUCCGGGCCGGGCUAC